RNAcentral lists this ribosomal RNA (446 nucleotides) under uncultured bacterium. Its description in RNAcentral is "bacterial SSU rRNA". It matches the Rfam family "Bacterial small subunit ribosomal RNA", at positions 330 to 792 of the family's 1533-position model. The record is from RNAcentral.
ACCAGACUCCUACGGGAGGCAGCAGUGGGGGAUAUUGCACAAUGGGGGGAACCCUGAUGCAGCGACGCCGCGUGGGUGAAGGAGUAUUUCGGUAUGUAAAGCCCUAUCGGCAGGGAAGAAUUUAGACGGUACCUGACUAAGAAGCCCCGGCUAACUACGUGCCAGCAGCCGCGGUAAUACGUAGGGGGCAAGCGUUAUCCGGAUUCACUGGGUGUAAAGGGAGCGUAGACGGCCAGGCAAGCCUGGAGUGAAAGCCCGGGGCCCAACCCCGGGACUGCUCUGGGAACUGUCCGGCUGGAGUGCGGGAGGGGCAGGCGGAAUUCCUGGUGUAGCGGUGAAAUGCGUAGAUAUCAGGAGGAACACCGGCGGCGAAGGCGGCCUGCUGGACCGCGACUGACGUUGAGGCUCGAAAGCGUGGGGAGCGAACAGGAUUAGAUACCCCAGUA